UACGGAGGGUGCAAACGUUGCUCGGAAUCAUUGGGCGUAAAGCGCACGUUGGUGGCCUGUUAAGUCGGGUGUGAAAUCCCUGGGCUCAACCCAGGAAGUGCACUCGAAACUGGCAGGCUUGAGUACUGAAGAGGGUCGCGGAAUUCCCGGUGUAGAGGUGAAAUUCGUAGAUAUCGGGAGGAACACCAGUGGCGAAGGCGGCGACCUGGGCAGAUACUGACACUGAGGUGUGAAAGCGUGGGGAGCAAACAGG
RNAcentral lists this ribosomal RNA (253 nucleotides) under uncultured bacterium. RNAcentral's name for it is "partial 16S ribosomal RNA". It matches the Rfam family "Bacterial small subunit ribosomal RNA", at positions 524 to 776 of the family's 1533-position model. The record is from RNAcentral.